This 403-nucleotide long non-coding RNA is filed under the name Suricata suricatta (meerkat). Its description in RNAcentral is "Nuclear RNase P (ENSSSUG00005007549.1)". The stretch from base 3 to 285 matches the Rfam family "Nuclear RNase P". Rfam says of the family: Ribonuclease P (RNase P) is a ubiquitous endoribonuclease, found in archaea, bacteria and eukarya as well as chloroplasts and mitochondria. Its best characterised activity is the generation of mature 5'-ends of tRNAs by cleaving the 5'-leader elements of precursor-tRNAs. Cellular RNase Ps are ribonucleoproteins. Lineage: Eukaryota; Metazoa; Chordata; Mammalia; Carnivora; Herpestidae. The record is from RNAcentral.
GUGGAGGGAAGCUCACCGGUGGGGCUUCGAGCUGAGUUCCUGCUUCACUCUAUCCCAUGUUCCCUGGGAAGGUCUGAGACUAGAGCCAUAAAGCGGCCCUAACAGGGUCCUCCCUGAGUCUCCAGGAGGUGAGUUCCCACAGAACAGGCCUCCGCGCGAGGGCAUACUGGGUAGGAGAUUUUAGAACUUAAACAUAUUUGUUAUAAAAGGGUAAGCAGAGACCAGAUAUUUUCCAGUUAAAAGGUAAAAUCUAGCAGUUGUUGAAUUUAUACUCUCAAGCACUUUUUAUACAUCAUUUCCACCAGGCUUUGUAACAAUAGUGUAAGCAGGUUUAUAGUUUUUAGCUAUAAAGCAGAGGAUUAAGUUGCACCAAAUUAGGUAACUCGUUAGUUCUCUAGCCUAU